RNAcentral lists this ribosomal RNA (509 nucleotides) under uncultured organism. RNAcentral's name for it is "bacterial SSU rRNA". It matches the Rfam family "Bacterial small subunit ribosomal RNA", at positions 937 to 1452 of the family's 1533-position model. The record is from RNAcentral.
GCGUGUGGUUUAAUUCGAUGCUACACGAAGAACCUUACCUGGGUUUGACAUACUAGUGGUAGUGGAACGAAAGUGAAGCGACCCUUCGGGGAGCUAGUACAGGUGCUGCAUGGCUGUCGUCAGCUCGUGCCGUGAGGUGUCGGGUUAAGUCCCGUAACGAGCGCAACACAUUGCCCUUAGUUACAAGUGUCUAAGGGGACUGCCGGCAGGUAAGCCGGAGGCCCCCUGGGGAUGACGUCAAGUCAGCAUGGCCCUUAUAUCCAGGGCUACACACACGCUACAAUGGUCAGUACAAAGGGCAGCGAAGCCGCGAGGUGAAGCGAAUCCCAACAAAGCUGAUCGUAGUUCGGAUUGCAGGCUGCAACUCGCAUGCAUGAAGCUGGAGUUGCUAGUAGCCGCGCGUCAGCUACUACGUCCGCUGAAUACGUUCCCGGGGCUUGUACACACCGCCCGUCACGUCAUGGGAGUCGGUAACGCCUGAAGCUGGUUGAAUAGCUCGAGAGAGAGGG